GCUUGUUAGAAAAUAAGGAUACCAAGCAUGAUCAAUACGAGAAGUUACUUGAAUGUCUACUCAUUCGUCAAUGACUUUCUCGAUGCUGUAGUGGUGUGACUAAUUUUUUGAUCUAUGAUGCCUCGACUAUUCACAAUGAGGUUGCUGUAGUUUAACUGUACAUACACUUGGUCCUUAGCCAUAUGGGCCCUUGCUGUGCAUGAUGGCUAUAGUAGGUUCGUUGUAAGAAUAGGAUAUGCAUUUAGAUAGAAUCUAUCGAUCUUGAUAGAUAAAAAGUAGUCCUAUGUGAUUUAUGAAAUUGAGUUCUAAAGAUCACGAUCAUAACCGUGUGAAUAAUAGAAAAGCAUUUCUAUAAGAUUUUACAGUAUGGACUCGAGUUGUAUAAAUCUGAUAUAUGAUAGAUGAUGGGAUUUGAUGAGAUUUUCACAAUCUCUAUCUUGUCAGAACUCACGAUAAAAGAACUGUAUCACA
This 471-nucleotide long non-coding RNA is filed under the name Elaeis guineensis (African oil palm). RNAcentral's name for it is "long non-coding RNA (EGUI_LNC033437)". The record is from RNAcentral. Lineage: Eukaryota; Viridiplantae; Streptophyta; Magnoliopsida; Arecales; Arecaceae.